AGCGGAUGAAGGUAGCUUGCUACNNAUUCAGCGGCGGACGGGUGAGUAAUGCUUAGGAAUCUGCCUAUUAGUGGGGGACAACGUUCCGAAAGGAGCGCUAAUACCGCAUACGUCCUACGGGAGAAAGCAGGGGACCUUUGGGCCUUGCGCUAAUAGAUGAGCCUAAGUCGGAUUAGCUAGUUGGUAGGGUAAAGGCCUACCAAGGCGACGAUCUGUAGCGGGUCUGAGAGGAUGAUCCGCCACACUGGGACUGAGACACGGCCCAGACUCCUACGGGAGGCAGCAGUGGGGAAUAUUGGACAAUGGGGGGAACCCUGAUCCAGCCAUGCCGCGUGUGUGAAGAAGGCCUUUUGGUUGUAAAGCACUUUAAGCGAGGAGGAGGCUACCUAGAUUAAUACUUUAGGAUAGUGGACGUUACUCGCAGAAUAAGCACCGGCUAACUCUGUGCCAGCAGCCGCGGUAAUACAGAGGGUGCGAGCGUUAAUCGGAUUUACUGGGCGUAAAGCGUGCGUAGGCGGCCAAUUAAGUCAAAUGUGAAAUCCCCGAGCUUAACUUGGGAAUUGCAUUCGAUACUGGUUGGCUAGAGUAUGGGAGAGGAUGGUAGAAUUCCAGGUGUAGCGGUGAAAUGCGUAGAGAUCUGGAGGAAUACCGAUGGCGAAGGCAGCCAUCUGGCCUAAUACUGACGCUGAGGUACGAAAGCAUGGGGAGCAAACAGGAUUAGAUACCCUGGUAGUCCAUGCCGUAAACGAUGUCUACUAGCCGUUGGGGCCCUUGAGGCUUUAGUGGCGCAGCUAACGCGAUAAGUAGACCGCCUGGGGAGUACGGNNGCAAGACUAAAACUCAAAUGAAUUGACGGGGGCCCGCACAAGCGGUGGAGCAUGUGGUUUAAUUCGAUGCAACGCGAAGAACCUUACCUGGCCUUGNNAUACAG
RNAcentral lists this ribosomal RNA (931 nucleotides) under Acinetobacter radioresistens. RNAcentral's name for it is "bacterial SSU rRNA". It matches the Rfam family "Bacterial small subunit ribosomal RNA", at positions 65 to 991 of the family's 1533-position model. The record is from RNAcentral. Lineage: Bacteria; Pseudomonadati; Pseudomonadota; Gammaproteobacteria; Moraxellales; Moraxellaceae.